GGAAUAUUGGGCAAUGGACGCAAGUCUGACCCAGCCAUGCCGCGUGCAGGAUGACGGCCCUAUGGGUUGUAAACUGCUUUUAUACGGGAAGAAACCCCUCUACGUGUAGAGGGCUGACGGUACUGUAAGAAUAAGGAUCGGCUAACUCCGUCCCAGCAGCCGCGGUAAUACGGAGGAUCCAAGCGUUGUCCGGAUUUAUUGGGUUUAAAGGGUGCGUAGGCGGAUUAUUAAGUCAGUGGUGAAAGCCUGCAGCUUAACUGUAGAAUUGCCAUUGAAACUGAUAAUCUUGAGUGUGGUUGAGGUGGAUGGAAUGUGUCAUGUAGCGGUGAAAUGCUUAGAUAUGAUACAGAACACCGAUUGCGAAGGCAGUUCACUAAACCAUAACUGACGCUGAGGCACGAAAGCAUGGGGAGCAAAC
RNAcentral lists this ribosomal RNA (418 nucleotides) under uncultured bacterium. RNAcentral describes it as "bacterial SSU rRNA". It matches the Rfam family "Bacterial small subunit ribosomal RNA", at positions 358 to 773 of the family's 1533-position model. The record is from RNAcentral.